Molecule: ribosomal RNA, 253 nt
Filed under: uncultured bacterium
Lineage: Bacteria
Description: partial 16S ribosomal RNA
Rfam family: Bacterial small subunit ribosomal RNA
Source: RNAcentral
UACGGAGGGUGCAAGCGUUAUCCGGAUUUACUGGGUUUAAAGGGUGCGUAGGUGGGCGAGAAAGUCAGUGGUGAAAUCUCCGGGCUUAACCCGGAAACUGCCAUUGAUACUAUUUGUCUUGAAUACUGUGGAGGUCAGCGGAAUAUGUCAUGUAGCGGUGAAAUGCUUAGAUAUGACAUAGAACACCAAUUGCGAAGGCAGCUGGCUACACAAAUAUUGACACUGAGGCACGAAAGCGUGGGGAUCAAACAGG